UAGUUACUUUAUAUAAUCAUAUUACAGCUUACAAAGGUGCCAUAAACCUCAAGGGUCCUCAACUUGCACUUAUUCAAGGAAAAGACAUUCGGUUUAACAAUCUUUGUGUUUCAAAUAGGCGGAAGGAGGAAGACGGAGCGAGGUUUGGUGGAUUCGAGAGUGAGGUGAAGAAACUGAUUGAGGUAUUAUUUAACAAUAACAUCGCAAAUUAAACCCUAAUUCGAGUUCGAUCUUUGUGUUUUUUUAAAAAAAAAUUCUGGAAAAUUUUCCUGUGCAAUAUCUUGUGGAAUUUCUGAUCUAUUUUGUGAUUUGUGUGUUGUUGUUGUUGAUAUUUGUUUGUAUCUUGUGGAAUUGAUGGAAUUUUAAUUUAAUUGAUUGAGUGAAUGAGAGGUGGAUUGAGAAACGACAAUUGAAGAAAUUUGGGCGUUAAAAUACUUCAAUUUUCGCCAAAAAUCGCCCAAAUUUAUAAAUUUAUUGGUGAGAGUUUUGAGUGGCUAUUUUACAAGUUGAUGAAGACGUUUGUUGUUCAAGAAUUUUAGGUAUUGCUUAAAGUAGGGUUUUAUUUUGCGCUAUUAUUGUUAAAUUCAGUUUAGAAUUUUGUUUAAAUUGUGUUCUUUUGUUGAAUCUACUGGUAAAAAUGGCCACGGAAGUUGAUAUUUGUUUGCGUUUUUCACUUCUACGCUUUCUCCAACCCUCCAUUGAAGCAACUUUUGAACCUUCCUCUUCAUUGAAGCAACUUGAGAGGUAAUUUGUUGAUUCUCCGGUGGCGUUUUCUCCGAUCUCCAGGAUUCAACUGUCUGAUCUUCAUUUCAGUGUUCAUCACCCAAACAGAGCUCUUGAUUUCAAGAAAAUGGUGGGCCCUUAUCCUUCCGGUCAUCAACCCUUCUCUUUAUCUUACCACUGGCGAUCUCACAGCUUCAGUGCCAUACCUUGAAUUUUUUUAACGAUGACAAUAAAUGGAGGGAAGGUAUGCCAUUUGAGGAGCAACUUGAGGCCUUGCAAGAAGUUAUUGAUGAAGGAAAGGCAAGAUACAUUGGUUUCUCAAAUGAAAGUUCUUAGGGCAUUAUGGAGUUUGUCCAUGCAGCAAAAGUUGGAGGAAUUCCAAAGAUCAUGAGCAUUCAGAACUGCUACAAUCUACUCACCCGAUGUUGGUUUGAAGGAAUUUGUCAUGAAUUUACAACCUUCUGAAGCUGAAGCAAGUAUUGACAUCCAGGUUCCACCUACAACUAAUCAGAAAUCACUUGAAAGGAAUAUUGCCGAGGAUUGGGCUCCUUCUUCUUGCAACAUGACAUUUGAGGUUGUUAACUACAGGGAAUGGUCGUUGAUUUCACAAUACAGGGCAUCUAAGGAGUCAGUCUCCUAAGGUCAAAAUGAUUUGACAAUUUUGUGUCUAAGAUGAAGGUAUCAUGAGAUACGUUUGCGGAAGAUGUUACUUGUGUAAAUGUUGUCUUAAGCCUAAGCAGUUCUAAAAUGGGUCAUUAUAGGCUCUGCUUGAUUUCUAUGUCAGUUAUGGGAAAAGAAAGCCUGAACAUAUUAUCGUAUUUAGGCUUGUAAAAACCUGGAUGAGAAGUGAACCCAAAGAUUGUGGUGAUUGUGGCUCAGAAGAAUCACCAUACCAAGUUUUUCCGGCCUAAUGGUCUUGAGAAUGUCCCUCAUUUAAGAAAUACAAAAGAUGCUACAUGUUUGGCUUUGCUGGUUCUAUUCCAACACUUUAAUAAAAAUAACUGGUUGUUGGCUUUGUGGGUUAGUUUGAUGUAACUUCUAAAUUACUACUCAAUAAAUGUAAUUUUAAUUUUUACAUCA
This is a long non-coding RNA of Chenopodium quinoa (quinoa), 1803 nucleotides long. RefSeq lists it as uncharacterized. The transcript has 7 exons. NCBI's taxonomy places the organism in Eukaryota, Viridiplantae, Streptophyta, Magnoliopsida, Caryophyllales, Amaranthaceae. The record is from RefSeq and is a predicted model, not a curated record.